RNAcentral lists this ribosomal RNA (376 nucleotides) under uncultured eukaryote. RNAcentral's name for it is "partial 18S ribosomal RNA". It matches the Rfam family "Eukaryotic small subunit ribosomal RNA", at positions 592 to 976 of the family's 1831-position model. The record is from RNAcentral.
CAAGAGCGUAUAUUAAAGUUGCUGCGGUUAAAAAGCUCGUAGUUGGAUUUCAGUCUAGGAAGGUUAACUCGCCGAAAGGUUGUACGUUGAUUUUCCUCAGACUUCGUCAGAAGCUCGUGCUGCACUUAACUGUGUGGUACGAUGUUCUGACCUUUUACCUUGAGGAAAGUAGAGUGUUUCAGGCAGGCUACCCAGCUUGAAUACAUUAGCAUGGAAUAAUGAAAUGGAUCUCGGUUCGAUUUCGUUGGUUCUAGAGCUGAGGUGAUGAUCAAUAGGAACAGGCGAAGGUAUUCGUACUUGAGAGUGAGGAGUGAAAUCCAAUGAUCUCUUAAAGACGAUCCGAGGCGAAAGCAUUUGUCAAGGGUGUUUUCAUUGA